GUGGGGAAUCUUGCGCAAUGGGCGAAAGCCUGACGCAGCCAUGCCGCGUGGAUGAUGAAGGUCUUAGGAUUGUAAAAUCCUUUCACCGGUGAAGAUAAUGACUGUAGCCGGAGAAGAAGCCCCGGCUAACUUCGGGCCAGCAGCCGCGGUAAUACGAAGGGGGCUAGCGUUGCUCGGAUUUACUGGGCGUAAAGGGCGCGUAGGCGGACAUUUAAGUCAGGGGUGAAAUCCCGGGGCUCAACCUCGGAACUGCCUUUGAUACUGGAUGUCUUGAGUGUGAGAGAGGUGUGUGGAACUCCGAGUGUAGAGGUGAAAUUCGUAGAUAUUCGGAAGAACACCAGUGGCGAAGGCGACACACUGGCUCAUUACUGACGCUGAGGCGCGAAAGCGUGGGGAGCAAACAGGAUUAGAAACCCGUGUAGUCC
RNAcentral lists this ribosomal RNA (425 nucleotides) under uncultured bacterium. Its description in RNAcentral is "partial 16S ribosomal RNA". It matches the Rfam family "Bacterial small subunit ribosomal RNA", at positions 354 to 796 of the family's 1533-position model. The record is from RNAcentral.